Molecule: non-coding RNA, 69 nt
Organism: Rattus norvegicus (Norway rat)
Lineage: Eukaryota; Metazoa; Chordata; Mammalia; Rodentia; Muridae
Source: Rfam
GGGGAUUUGGCUCAGUGGUAGAGCGCUUGACUAGGAAGCGCAAGGUCCUGGGUUCGGUCCCCAGCCCCA